This 465-nucleotide ribosomal RNA is filed under the name Vreelandella stevensii. Its description in RNAcentral is "partial 16S ribosomal RNA". It matches the Rfam family "Bacterial small subunit ribosomal RNA", at positions 338 to 795 of the family's 1533-position model. The record is from RNAcentral. Lineage: Bacteria; Pseudomonadati; Pseudomonadota; Gammaproteobacteria; Oceanospirillales; Halomonadaceae.
CCUACGGGUGGCUGCAGUGGGGAAUAUUGGACAAUGGGGGGAACCCUGAUCCAGCCAUGCCGCGUGUGUGAAGAAGGCCCUCGGGUUGUAAAGCACUUUCAGUGAGGAAGAACGCCUGGUGGUUAAUACCCAUCAGGAAAGACAUCACUCACAGAAGAAGCACCGGCUAACUCCGUGCCAGCAGCCGCGGUAAUACGGAGGGUGCGAGCGUUAAUCGGAAUUACUGGGCGUAAAGCGCGCGUAGGUGGCUUGAUAAGCCGGUUGUGAAAGCCCCGGGCUCAACCUGGGAACGGCAUCCGGAACUGUCAAGCUAGAGUGCAGGAGAGGAAGGUAGAAUUCCCGGUGUAGCGGUGAAAUGCGUAGAGAUCGGGAGGAAUACCAGUGGCGAAGGCGGCCUUCUGGACUUACACUGACACUGAGGUGCGAAAGCGUGGGUAGCAAACAGGAUUAGAUACCCUAGUAGUC